CCCUUAGAUGUCCUGGGCCGCACGCGCGCUACACUGAACGGAUCAGCGCGUUUUCCCUUCCCGAGAGGGACGGGUAACCUGCUGAACCCCGUUCGUGGUAGGGAUCGGGGCUUGCAAUUAUUCCCCGUGAACCAGGAAUGCCCAGUAAGUGCAAGUCAUAAGCUUGCGUUGAUUACGUCCCUGCCCUUUGUACACACCGCCCGUCGCUACUACCGAUUGAACGUUUUAGUGAGGUACUCGGACUGAGCCUCAGAAGAUUCACGUCUUUUGUGCUGCUCGGGAAGAUUCCCAAACGUGAGCGUUUAGAGGAAGUAAAAGUCGUAACA
This 326-nucleotide ribosomal RNA is filed under the name uncultured eukaryote. RNAcentral's name for it is "partial 18S ribosomal RNA". It matches the Rfam family "Eukaryotic small subunit ribosomal RNA", at positions 1470 to 1796 of the family's 1831-position model. The record is from RNAcentral.